ACUCCUACGGAAGGCAGCAGUGGGGAAUUUUGGACAAUGGGCGAAAGCCUGAUCCAGCCAUUCCGCGUGCAGGAUGAAGGCCCUCGGGUUGUAAACUGCUUUUGUACGGAACGAAAAACUCCGGCUAAUACCUGGAGUCCAUGACGGUACCGUAAGAAUAAGCACCGGCUAACUACGUGCCAGCAGCCGCGGUAAUG
This 197-nucleotide ribosomal RNA is filed under the name uncultured bacterium. RNAcentral describes it as "partial 16S ribosomal RNA". It matches the Rfam family "Bacterial small subunit ribosomal RNA", at positions 335 to 525 of the family's 1533-position model. The record is from RNAcentral.